Molecule: ribosomal RNA, 1323 nt
Filed under: Mycoplasmopsis gallinarum DSM 19816
Lineage: Bacteria; Bacillati; Mycoplasmatota; Mycoplasmoidales; Metamycoplasmataceae
Description: bacterial LSU rRNA
Rfam family: Bacterial large subunit ribosomal RNA
Source: RNAcentral
AAGGCGAAUUAAAUGAUUUCAUACUUCCAAGAAAAGUUUCUAAACUUAAAUUUAUGGAAACCUGUACCGAGAACGGACACACGUCCCCAAGAUGAGUAUUCUAAGGCGAGCGAGAAAACUAGUGUUAAGGAACUCUGCAAAAUGACCCCGUAAGUUCGCAAGAAGGGGCACCCAUGGUAAUACAUGGGUCACAGUAAAUUAUGAGGGGCAACUGUUUAUCAAAAACACAGCUCUCUGCUAAACCGCAAGGUGAUGUAUAGGGGGUGAAGCCUGCCCAGUGCCCGAAGGUUAAGUGGAUGCGUUAGCUUAUGCGAAGCGUUGAAAUGAAGCCCGGGUGAACGGCGGCCGUAACUAUAACGGUCCUAAGGUAGCGAAAUUCCUUGUCGGCUAAAUACUGACCUGCACGAAAGGCGCAAUGAUCUCUCAACUGUCUCAACACUAGACUCGGUGAAAUUAUGGUCCCAGUGAAAACGCUGGGUACCCGCAUCAAGACGAAAAGACCCCAUGGAGCUUUACUAUAACUUCGUAUUGAAAUUUGGUCUAACAUGUGUAGGAUAGGUGGGAGACAGUGAAGACAGGACGCCAGUUCUGUUGGAGUCAUCCUUGAAAUACCACCCUUGUUAUAUUGAGUUUCUAACUUGCCAUCAUAAUCGGGUGGGAGGACAGUGCGUGGUGGGUAGUUUGACUGGGGCGGUCGCCUCCUAAAGAGUAACGGAGGCGUUCAAAGGUACACUCAAUACGGUCAGAAACCGUAUGUAGAGCGCAAAGGUAGAAGUGUGCUUGACUGUGAGACUUACAAGUCGAGCAGGUGCGAAAGCAGGACUUAGUGAUCCGGCUGUACAUUGUGGAAUGGCAGUCGCUCAACGGAUAAAAGUUACCCUGGGGAUAACAGGCUUAUCUUGCCCAAGAGAUCACAUCGACGGCAAGGUUUGGCACCUCGAUGUCGGCUCAUCGCAUCCUGGAGCUGGAGUCGGUUCCAAGGGUUGGGCUGUUCGCCCAUUAAAGCGGUACGCGAGCUGGGUUCAAAACGUCGUGAGACAGUUUGGUCCCUAUCUGAUGUGGGCGUUGGAAUAUUGAUGAGAGCCGCUCUUAGUACGAGAGGACCGGAGUGGACGUACCACUGGUGUUCCUGUUGUUGCGCCAGCAGCAUAGCAGGGUAGCUAAGUACGGAAAGGAUAACCGCUGAAAGCAUCUAAGUGGGAAGCCUCCUCAGAGAUAAGUAUUCCCUUGAGAUUCCUUAUAGACUAUGAGGUUGAUAGGAUGGGGGUGUAAGCGUAGUAAUACGUUCAGCUGACCAUUACUAAUAAAUCGAUCGGUUUAAAU